This is a long non-coding RNA of Emys orbicularis (European pond turtle), 1177 nucleotides long. RefSeq lists it as uncharacterized. Lineage: Eukaryota; Metazoa; Chordata; Testudines; Emydidae. The transcript has 4 exons. The record is from RefSeq and is a predicted model, not a curated record.
GCGGUAGCCAUCUCGGAUUCGGGCAGGGCUCCAGGGGCGGCGCUGGCAUUGAGGGGGAAGAGCCGAGACGCUGAUGGGAACACACCUUCCUCUGCCAAUGGGGGGGGAUCAGACGCGGAGAUUACAACUCCCAGCAUGCAAUGCUCUGCGAGCUCUGUUUGCUAUUAAGCAUGGCAAGUGAGUGCUGCCUGCCUGGUUACGAGAGCUAUGUGUGUAAAAAAAUGGAAAAUCACUAAGAAGAAAAUUACUACUGAAUGCUGACCUUUAUUAUGCACCGAAAAACACAAAUCAACUGGGUGUUAAAGCAAAAUAGGCCUCUAUUGAAAGCAGGAAUGGAAAUAUUACGAAUAUUUAACAGCGGCACUCAUUCAUAUCUUCAUCUUAAAAAAAAAAAAAAAAAAGAAUUCCAAAGACAAGAUCCAUAAUGAUCCAUAAUGCCACAAAGGCUUAGUUUUGUAAUAUUGAGAAGAAUCCCACGCAUUCCCAAUUGUAUGUGUAAGUUGUACAAGUGCAUGCACAACUUUCAAAGUUUGUGCAAAGCCUGAUAAAUAAGACACAAAUAUCAGUUACGUUUACUUUUUCUAAGAACUUUUACUCUGUAAAAUGUUUGGUCACUCAAAGCUAUAAGCUUAAUCACAUAUCAAAGAACACAGGCAAUAAAGCCCAUCUUACUAGAACGUACAGUAUUAAGCUGGACAAAAUAGAGGACAAAAUCUAGUGGUCACUGAAGCCCCUUCAAAAAAGGUCUAAAACAGAAAGUUUCCAUCAUGUAUCAGAAUAAAAAUGUACUGUAUUAAAAUUUGUUUUACAAGUAGUCUUUUAAUCAGUCUUCUAUUUACAGUGCAGAACUUCUGCCAGCUGCAGUAGUUUAACUUUGGCACAACACUAAGUUCCAAUCCUUUUGAGUAUUCAAUCCUGUGUGUGUCUCAACAUUUUCUUGGUUUCACGAAAGAUUAGGCCCAUUCACAGUAAACCAGAUAUCUUGCUUCCCCUUCACCACUUUGGGCAGCUACAAAGGAAAGACACUGUAAGCUACUGAAUCAUUCAAGAGAAACACUUCUUUCUAAAAUGCCACGAUGGCUUCCUUUAACAUGAUUACAUACACCAGACAAGGAUCAUACAGCUUGCUACUUGCUGGUCACCUCCCAGAACCUUGCUGGUCAUUAGUCAAUCACUU